UCGUGCAGAAAACUGCACCGGGCGGCAAUGGGACCUACGAGAGUAUGCGAUAAAAAUCCCACGCAGAAGCACACGUGCCGCAAGCAGUACAAACGUCACGUAACGGAAAAAUAGAAGUGCGUGUUUGUGUAGUAGUUGAGGGAAGGAACGAAAAAGAAACGGCGCACAUAAGGUUGCCGAGCCGUUACAGCAUUAGGCCAGGCAAUCUUCAAAUGUGACGUUGAACGCAGAGGCUGUGAAGUAGCCGCGAAUGGCAUAAAGGAGAACAAAACCGACAUGCUGCGCUGCGACACACACAGGCCUCUCCUCCGACCUCGGUCACGGCGCAACGCACAUCUACGCGCAGUGCCGGCUUGAACGGCAAAGGAUCCGGCGGCAGAAGCCAACUGGCUGGCACUCACAGACUGGCAGGUGUCAUCUCAAGCUAGCACAACUAUCAAAGAAAUAGAAAAAUAUGCAAUUUGGUGGUUUCGUCGUGCAUCAGAGCAAGCAGCGGCAUUGGUGAAGAAAGGAGCGGCUGCUGUUUACUCAGAUGCCACAAGUGCACAGCUUGAGCUUGGCCAUGCGGAGGACCCCGGCAUGCAGCAAGAAUGAAAAUGUGCAUUUCUGGCGAAACGAGACACCAUGGCAAACACACACUAUGAGUUACUGCAGGUGAAACCUGAGCAAAUACUUCCGACGCUUGCUCACGUACUCCUUAUACUCAGGAUCAAAGCCACGGCGUUGUUCACGCUGCUGCAAUACACUGUCGCAAGCUCUGUUUCUUCUAACUAAUGCGUCAAUUAUCCGUAGAAAAACAAAUAAAAGAAUGCACAUAAGCAAAGAACUUUCAUUUUCUUAACCACAUGGCUACAGAAAAAGUCACUGCCGAUGAAAUGCGCACUGCACACUUUCAUCGGUGCUGUGCCUGCCUUGCCAAUUCACAACUUGACAACCCGUUCUUUCUU
Molecule: long non-coding RNA, 947 nt
Filed under: Dermacentor andersoni
Lineage: Eukaryota; Metazoa; Arthropoda; Arachnida; Ixodida; Ixodidae
Description: uncharacterized LOC126544879
Source: RNAcentral